AAAAAUUCAGCCUGGGGAGAAGCCCCAGACAUUACAGGAAAAUGCUUCUAAUAGAACUUUGAUUUUCUUACCCUUCAGAGAAGCCAUACUGGGGUAAAUGGAUAUUUGAGUGUGGCAAAAACAAUUGUUGGAGAGUCAUACAUGGGUUUGCAUUCUCCUAGACAAAAAUCAGAGUUCCUGAAUGAAGAAAACUUAUUAAUUUUCAGCUCUUGGGGCAUAUCAGGGUACUCACAUUAGUGAAAAUCCAUAAAUGCAUUGUGUCUGAGAAGCUAGAAAGAAGCUCCUAUCUAGUCGGGCCCCAGAGAAGGAGUUCUAUGGAGGAGUUGUUCCAGUAAGAGAUCUAAUUGUGGGUGAGAAUCUGUAUAUAUGCUGUGUAUGCAAAGAGCUGUUCUCAUAGUUGAACCACAUUGUGGAAAAAACAAAAAACAACAACAACAAGAACAACAAAAAAACGAGUUGUAUGGAAAUAAUGUCUUAGCAACCCAAAAGCUUGUUCUGGAGGUGCUGGGGCAGGUUAGCAUGGAUCUGGAGGGUAACUCAGGUAAAGAUGCUUUUCUUUUGUCUCAACCACUUGAUGAUUGCUUUAGUUUCACUUUAAAAAAAAGUCAUAUAUCCAAUAAAGGAAAGAAUGUACUCUUGUGUAUAAGUAGGGCGUGGUUUAUUGUUGGAUUCAGAAAGCAGUGCUUUGACUUUUGCUUCCCAUUUUUUUUUUUUUCCUUAAAAUCUCUUGGCCAGAAUGAGAAUGGUGUGUGGCUAAGAAGCUCGGGAGUACUUAGUUUGGGUUAAAAUUCUUAGUACUUUCCUUUUGGCGUGACCAUCCUCAGCAAAAAGCAGAGCACUCAGUUCUUUCGCUUAGUGUUGACAUCUGCCCUCAGAAUUGUCCCAAUUUGUCUAAAAUUGACCUUAAAAUUUCUUUUUGAGUUAUCACUGUGGCCAUUGAAAUUUCAUAUUUGUAGGUUCAUUUAUUUUCAUGUAAAAAUAACA
Molecule: long non-coding RNA, 984 nt
Filed under: Rattus norvegicus (Norway rat)
Lineage: Eukaryota; Metazoa; Chordata; Mammalia; Rodentia; Muridae
Description: long non-coding RNA NONRATT012487
Source: RNAcentral